RNAcentral lists this ribosomal RNA (400 nucleotides) under uncultured bacterium. RNAcentral's name for it is "bacterial SSU rRNA". It matches the Rfam family "Bacterial small subunit ribosomal RNA", at positions 355 to 747 of the family's 1533-position model. The record is from RNAcentral.
UGGGGAAUAUUGCACAAUGGGCGCAAGCCUGAUGCAGCCAUGCCGCGUGUAUGAAGAAGGCCUUCGGGUUGUAAAGUACUUUCAGCGAGGAGGAAGGCAUUGCGGCUAAUAACCGCAGUGAUUGACGUUACUCGCAGAAGAAGCACCGGCUAACUCCGUGCCAGCAGCCGCGGUAAUACGGAGGGUGCAAGCGUUAAUCGGAAUUACUGGGCGUAAAGCGCACGCAGGCGGUCUGUUAAGUCAGAUGUGAAAUCCCCGGGCUCAACCUGGGAACUGCAUUUGAAACUGGCAGGCUUGAGUCUUGUAGAGGGGGGUAGAAUUCCAGGUGUAGCGGUGAAAUGCGUAGAGAUCUGGAGGAAUACCGGUGGCGAAGGCGGCCCCCUGGACAAAGACUGACGCU